CCUACGGGUGGCAGCAGUGGGGAAUAUUGCACAAUGGGGGAAACCCUGAUGCAGCGACGCCGCGUGAGUGAAGAAGUAUCUCGGUACGUAAAGCUCUAUCAGCAGGGAAGAAAAUGACGGUACCUGACUAAGAAGCCCCGCUAACUACGGGCCAAGCGCCGCCGGAAUACCGAGGGGGCAAGCGUUAUCCGGAUUUACUGGGUGUAAAGGGAGCGGAGACGGCAGCACAAGUCUGGAGUGAAAUCCCGGGGCUUAACCCCGGAACUGCCUUGGAAACUGUGCGGCUGGAGUGCAGGAGGGGUAAGCGGAAGUCCUAGUGUAGCGGUGAAAUGCGUAGAUAUUAGGAGGAACACCGGUGGCGAAGGCGGCUUACUGGACUGUAACUGACGUUGAGGCUCGAAAGCGUGGGGAGCAAACAGGAUUAGAUACCCCAGUAGUC
RNAcentral lists this ribosomal RNA (439 nucleotides) under uncultured bacterium. RNAcentral's name for it is "partial 16S ribosomal RNA". It matches the Rfam family "Bacterial small subunit ribosomal RNA", at positions 338 to 795 of the family's 1533-position model. The record is from RNAcentral.